Molecule: ribosomal RNA, 159 nt
Filed under: uncultured bacterium
Lineage: Bacteria
Description: partial 16S ribosomal RNA
Rfam family: Bacterial small subunit ribosomal RNA
Source: RNAcentral
UGCCGUGUGAAAAACUCCGGUGGUGUAAGAUGGAUCCGCGUCUGAUUAGCUGGUUGGCGGGGUAGAAGCCCACCAAGGCGACGAUCAGUAGCCGGCCUGAGAGGGUGAACGGCCACAUUGGGACUGAGACACGGCCCAAACUCCUACGGAAGGCAGCAG